RNAcentral lists this ribosomal RNA (483 nucleotides) under uncultured bacterium. Its description in RNAcentral is "partial 16S ribosomal RNA". It matches the Rfam family "Bacterial small subunit ribosomal RNA", at positions 36 to 506 of the family's 1533-position model. The record is from RNAcentral.
AUUUCCCUCUUUCGGCAGGCCUAACACAUGCAAGUCGAGCGGAUGAAGGGAGCUUGCUCCUGGAUUCAGCGGCGGACGGGUGAGUAAUGCCUAGGAAUCUGCCUGGUAGUGGGGGAUAACGUCCGGAAACGGGCGCUAAUACCGCAUACGUCCUGAGGGAGAAAGUGGGGGAUCUUCGGACCUCACGCUAUCAGAUGAGCCUAGGUCGGAUUAGCUAGUUGGUGGGGUAAAGGCCUACCAAGGCGACGAUCCGUAACUGGUCUGAGAGGAUGAUCAGUCACACUGGAACUGAGACACGGUCCAGACUCCUACGGGAGGCAGCAGUGGGGAAUAUUGGACAAUGGGCGAAAGCCUGAUCCAGCCAUGCCGCGUGUGUGAAGAAGGUCUUCGGAUUGUAAAGCACUUUAAGUUGGGAGGAAGGGCAGUAAGUUAAUACCUUGCUGUUUUGACGUUACCAACAGAAUAAGCACCGGCUAACUUCGU